Molecule: unclassified non-coding RNA, 387 nt
Filed under: soil metagenome
Description: partial contains 5.8S ribosomal RNA, internal transcribed spacer 2, and large subunit ribosomal RNA
Rfam family: 5.8S ribosomal RNA (bases 1-120)
Source: RNAcentral
GAUGAAGAACGCAGCGAAAUGCGAUAAGUAAUGUUAAUUGCAGAAUUCAGUGAAUCAUCGAAUCUUUGAACGCACCUUGCACCCUUUGGCAUUCCGAAGGGUAUGCUCGUUUGAGUGUCAUUGUACUCUCACACUCUCCGAUCCUAUGGAUUCGGGGAGCGGUGGACUUGGGUGUUGCUGCCUUUCCCUGUGGCUCACCUCAAAUGCGUCAGUGCACCUCUUGGUUGGACAUAGUACGGCGUGAUAAGUGUCUUCGCCGGCACCUCGCAAGAGGGUGGCCGAUCGGGAGCUCUGCGCUUUCAAACCGUCUUCGGACAAUUUCUGACAUCUUGACCUCAAAUCGAGUAGGACUACCCGCUGAACUUAAGCAUAUCAAUAAGCGGAGGA